GGUGAACGCUGGCGGCGUGCCUAAUACAUGCAAGUCGAACGAAACUUCUUUAUCACCGAGUGCUUGCACUCACCGAUAAAGGGUUGAGUGGCGAACGGGUGAGUAACACGUUUGCAACCUGCCCAAAAGAGGGGGAUAACACGUGGAAACAGCUGCUAAUACCGCAUAACCAUAGUUACCGCAUGGGAACUUUGGAGAAGGUGGCUAUACUACCGCUUUUGGAUGGGCGGGCGGGGGAUUAGCUAGCUGGGCGGGUAAAGGCUCACCAAGGGAACGAUUCGUAGCCGAAAUGAGAGGAUGAUCAGCCACAUUGGGACUGAGACACGGCCCAGACUCCUACGGGAGGCAGCAGUGGGGAAUAUUGCACAAUGGGCGCAAGCCUGAUGGAGCCAUGCCGCGUGGGUGAAGAAGGUCUUCGGAUCGUAAAACCCUGUUGUUAGGAAAGAAAGUGAGUGGGAGUAACCGUUCCCGUUUUGACGGUACCUAACCAGAAAGCCACGGCUAACUACGUG
Molecule: ribosomal RNA, 512 nt
Filed under: uncultured bacterium
Lineage: Bacteria
Description: partial 16S ribosomal RNA
Rfam family: Bacterial small subunit ribosomal RNA
Source: RNAcentral